Molecule: ribosomal RNA, 96 nt
Filed under: Meriones unguiculatus (Mongolian gerbil)
Lineage: Eukaryota; Metazoa; Chordata; Mammalia; Rodentia; Muridae
Source: RNAcentral
CAUACUGCUUGAAAACACCUAAUCUUGUCUAAUCUUGGAAGCGAAGUCGGAUGGGCCUGGCUAGAACUUAGAUGAGACAAACUGUCAUGGCCAGAA